This is a long non-coding RNA of Arachis ipaensis, 1794 nucleotides long. RefSeq lists it as uncharacterized. The record is from RefSeq and is a predicted model, not a curated record. NCBI's taxonomy places the organism in Eukaryota, Viridiplantae, Streptophyta, Magnoliopsida, Fabales, Fabaceae.
GGCUUAAAACGCCUAAAAGAAAUUAAAUACAAACUAAAGUGGGAUAAAGAAGUUCCUUGUUCAUCAUCAACUAACAAACUAAGAACCUCUCUAGAAAGGAUAUCCUAAAAGUGAAAUCCUGGAUCUAAUUUAAACUUUUAUGCACAAGACAAUCAGCACAUCUAUUGUCUUUCCUCCAAUUUUUUCUUUUCCAGUUACUAAUGCUUCUGAUUAAAGCAUUUGGGUGUUUCUGGAAAUCGCAUUCCACAAUUAAUUUCUUAUUCCCAUAGUCCAAGGUAGCAUAAGUCCCUUCUUAAUCCCCCAAAGCUCUGCUCUAUAUGCCAUGCCCAUGCACUCCCCAAUAAAAUGAAUGGAAGAAGGCUGCAAUCCAUCUUCCAUUUGGGUUUCUGAGUAGUCCCCUACACCCCGCCUUGUUGGUGCUUCCAUCAACGGAUCUGUCUUUGGGGAAGGAUGGAUCCAUUUAAUGUUGAUUUGAGAAUUUCGGUGUGUGCAUGUGGCGGUCUCUGGUACCCUUGCUCGUGUAUCUCCUUGUUUCACCAAGCCCAAGCCUUCCAGCAAGUAAAGAUGAAGACGUCCAUCCAUUUCAGGUUCAGUGGGUGAGAUUCAACACUAUCCAUUCCUCCAAAUUGCUUCCAAAGAAGAUUUGAUUAAUCUCACCCAAACUCUGGAAAUCGUUGGGCAAUUUCUCAUUGCAUGCAUUAUGUCCUCUUGGCUCUCGUCGCAGAUUUGACAAGCCCCUGAACCUCCCAUUAUAUGAAAAAUUCUUUUGUGCAUAAUUUUCCAAAGGUGGAUUUUAGCCUUUUGUGGCCCUUUCCAGCUCCAUUGCUUCGUAGGUGUCGCUUAUGGAGAAAUCUCCAUCUCUAAUAUGUCUUCUCCCAAAUGAGCUGAAGGCGAUGGAGUGACCAUGAUCUCGAGCACAACAUCUUCAGGGGUCCAGCCAUUUCCAAUGUGGCGGGUAGUGUUUUCUUUGAACAUGGGCCACAAAUUGACAAGCUCCUUCCAAAGAGGUGAGUCAUUUAUUUCCGUUACGUAUUUGUUAAUGAACACUUGUGCCCAGAGGGUGUUGGAGUCCUCUUUUAAGUUGUCAAGAUGCUGUUUAUGAUCUCAUUGAUUCUAAUACCAGCCAUGUCACCGAAUUGUCCCAAGAUGCUGUUUAUCAUCUCAAUUUGGUCAGUUGUAGCCUCCAAGAAAAUAAGUAAGUUGGGAGAUUUUUGGCCCAUUUUUUCCAACUCUAAAUGCCUUCCAUCUUUCUCUUUCAGCUUCUUUUUCUAUAAGCUGUGAAGAUAAGGUAAAAUCGAGUCUCCUUGUCUGAUUUCUCUUGUAGGGUUGAAUAUUUUUAUUUUGCCACCGUUCCAAAGUACGUUGUAGCUGACCAUGCUAACUCCUUGCAGGAUUAUGUUGACUAAUUUUUCUGGCAAGUUAAAUUCUUUGUCUUCUAUGGAUAAAAUCUCAUCUAAUCUUCUCAUAGCUUAUUAUUGUAAGAAUUUUUUUUUUGGUUGCCCACAAUUUUCCAACUCGACAGGCCAAUGACUAAUCCGUCGUAGAUCUGAACUCCAUUUGAAGGUCUGUCGCUGGCCAAUGAAUUGCUGCAUUUACAAGGCGGGAUUCGAACCUCCGACACUUGUUUAAACAUACGAGUGAGAUGAAUACUCGACCAACCUAAGUUGGUUUUUAUUUUUUUAUGUUUUUUUUGGGUCAAGACCCAAGUUGGUUUAUUAUUGUGAGAAUCUUAUUAAACAGGAUUUACGCUGACUAUAGAAUAAAUAAGCCUAUUCAUUGGUGCAUUUGGGCCUC